This 1407-nucleotide ribosomal RNA is filed under the name Triticum aestivum (bread wheat). RNAcentral's name for it is "partial small subunit ribosomal RNA". The record is from RNAcentral. Lineage: Eukaryota; Viridiplantae; Streptophyta; Magnoliopsida; Poales; Poaceae.
AUGAGCACCUCCUCGUCCGCCUCUUCCGCCGGCGACUCCUCCGAUGACGAGCAGUUUGAUCUUCCCGUGGCCACUCAAACCCUUCCCACCAUUACGAUCAAAUCUCUCCGUAUCCGAGACCAUGUCCUCGUCAUUCUCGAUUACGAGAAGGAGAACUACGGCCUUUGGCGCCGCCAGUUUCUCGACGCCCUCGCCAAGUUCGGCCUCACCGACCACGUCGAUGGCUCGCCGGCGCAGGCCACCUCCGAUUGGGUCCUCAACGACUUCGCCAUCCUCUCCUGGUACAACGCCACCGUGACUCCGUCGACCUUGGAGAUCGUAGCGGAGCGCAAGGCCUCGGCCUACACCAUCUGGCGCUCGAUCCGCUCCCUCUUCCGCAGCAAUCGGGAUGCCCGGAUCACAUAUCUCCUGGAUGAGUUCCAUAGCUUCAUUCAAGGAGAGCUCUCGGUCGUGGACUACACCGCCAAGCUGAAGCAGAUGGCGGAUACACUUCGGGACCUCGGCCACCGCAUCAAGGAUCGCGAUCUCGUCCACAACGUCCUGCGCGGCCUCGACGAGCGCUUCCAGCACGCCGUCCCGCACAUGACCAGCGGUCGCCGGCCCUCCUUCAUCAAGCUGCGGGCCUUCCUCCAGUUGGAGGAGCAGCGCCUCGGCCGGCAGGCGCGCGUCGCCGCCCGCACCGCUCUGCUCGCCCAAGCCUCGGCGUACUACGCGGCUCGGCCUCCGACUCCUGCGCCUGUCCCCGCCUCCUUCACCCAGGCCCUGCUCGCCCCCAACACUCACGCCGUGGGCUCUUCUUCCGGCGGCGGCUCUUCAGGCCAUCGCAACAACCGACAGAAGAAAAGGAAGCAGAAUCCUUCCUCUGGCGCCAGCGGCUUCUCUUUAGGCGGGGGUCCCUCCGGUGGGUUUCCCGCGGGCGCGCGCCCUCCCACCACCGUGGCCGGCACCUUCCAGGGCAUCCUUGGAGCUCGCCCGCCCGCUCCGGCUGCGCCUCAGGCUCAUCACGCCACGACCGCGGCCACACCCUCACCACACUGGGACCAAGCCGCCCUCAUCGCUGCACUCAACCAGAUGGCUCUGCAUCCUCCUUCCGCGCCUGGUGGUGAAUGGGUCUUCGAUAGCGGCGCCUCGUCCCACAUGAGCUCCGGUUCCGUGUAUACGUGGACACCGGGACAUUUUUGUUCUGGGUCCGCCCCUGUUCUCUCGUCUGCAUCUGCGGCGGCCGAGGCGGCUGGCCGGCAAAGGGGUCACGGGAGAGAGGCCACGGCGCCCGCAGCGAUGGCAAUGGCGAGUGGGCCUUUCGUCAGGAAGGUGCUGCGGGAGGAGAUGGCUAAGGCGGACGGCCAGGGUGACAUUGGCCAGUCUAAGAGGACCAGCCCCGGCGGCCCAGAUCCGCAGCAUCAUUAG